Molecule: RNase P RNA, 376 nt
Filed under: Salmonella enterica subsp. enterica serovar Typhi str. CT18
Lineage: Bacteria; Pseudomonadati; Pseudomonadota; Gammaproteobacteria; Enterobacterales; Enterobacteriaceae
Description: RNase P RNA component class A
Rfam family: Bacterial RNase P class A
About the family: Ribonuclease P (RNase P) is a ubiquitous endoribonuclease, found in archaea, bacteria and eukarya as well as chloroplasts and mitochondria. Its best characterised activity is the generation of mature 5'-ends of tRNAs by cleaving the 5'-leader elements of precursor-tRNAs. Cellular RNase Ps are ribonucleoproteins.
Source: RNAcentral
GAAGCUGACCAGACAGUCGCCGCUUCGUCGUCGUCCUUUCGGGGAGACGGGCGGAGGGGAGGAAAGUCCGGGCUCCAUAGGGCAGGGUGCCAGGUAACGCCUGGGGGGGGAAACCCACGACCAGUGCAACAGAGAGCAAACCGCCGAUGGCCCACGCAAGUGGGAGCAGGUAAGGGUGAAAGGGUGCGGUAAGAGCGCACCGCGCGGCUGGUAACAGUCCGUGGCACGGUAAACUCCACCCGGAGCAAGGCCAAAUAGGGGUUCAUAAGGUACGGCCCGUACUGAACCCGGGUAGGCUGCUUGAGCCAGUGAGCGAUUGCUGGCCUAGAUGAAUGACUGUCCACGACAGAACCCGGCUUAUCGGUCAGUUUCACUU